Molecule: long non-coding RNA, 2572 nt
Organism: Oncorhynchus tshawytscha (Chinook salmon)
Lineage: Eukaryota; Metazoa; Chordata; Actinopteri; Salmoniformes; Salmonidae
Source: Ensembl
CUGUGCUUGGCCCUGAUUUACAGGCUCCCAGCCCUCUGAGUAAUAAGACUCCUGUUUCAUAGCAGUUGGAAUCAGUUCAGUUUUUUGGUCACAGAGAGAGAGAGAGAGAUAAGUAGAUAAGCUCAAUUUUUUUUCCCCUCGCAAAAAUCCAUUCACAGAGCUGGAGGGAGACAUGGUGGAGCUCAGAGAGCUAGUCCACACAAUCAAGAACAAACCCACAAAACAGACCAGCACAACAACCCCCCACCCCCAACAAGACCCAGAGGGCAGAAGGUGGAGAUGGACGGCUGACUGAGAGAGCCGGCUGCUCUACGGACUGAGGGGAGAGAACUUAGAGAGGCACACGUGGCACUGAAGGACGUGGUCAGAAAGCUGAGGUGUGACAGAGAGCAGGACACUCCCCGAGACAAGCCAGCAGAACAGCCCACCUCAGAUCCAGACCCAGUCCACAACUUCAACACCCUAAUGGGACAGACAACAUAGGACCCACCAACCAAACAGACCCCACCCCCUCCUAACAGCCCUCCUGUCAGCUCCCCCGAUAGCACUCUUGACAACCACCCACACAUCUUUUUCUAAUCCAAGAUGGCGUAGCAGUUCAGACGUCUUUGUCUUGUCAUGUCCCGUGUGUAUAUAUAUAUAUAUUUUCCUUCGUAUAUAUUUCGUAUAUAUUUUUUAUAUUUUUAAGCUCAGUUUCAACAAACACUCCUGCAACCCGCCUCACCCAAUGUGGUAUGGAUCUGCUAUUUUCUGUACUUUAGAACCGGAACCCCCAACAGAAGAUAGCCAGCUAACUAGUUACUAGCUAGUAGUCAGUUAGCCACUGCUAGCGGUCAUCAGCUAACCUUAGCCCGGUCAACUCCUGCCAGUCUGCACAGCGCGAUUCAACCCAGUGCAUACCGGACUGCUUUUUCUCCACAUGUCUAGUUUCCUACCAUAAGCUCUGAACCUUUUCACCUGGAUCAUCACAGCUAGCUAGCUGCUAUCCGAGUGGCUACCCCCUGGCUAACGUCUCUGUCCCGAAGCAAGCACCAGUGAGCCUGGAACUGCCCAUCUCCUGGCUAGCUGAAGAGGUCCAUCAGCCACUCCUUGGGCUACAAUACAUAUUUUGCCAAAUGGCCUGGAGCCCUUUUGCUGCCGACACGGAGCCCCACCGAAUCCAUCACGACUGGUCUACCGACGUAAUCCACCCGAGGGGUUUCAACAGCCUUCUCCGUCGCGACGUCCCCUGAAGGCCCAUCCGCUAGCCUGCUGGCCACGGCCCGCUAGCUGUCUAGAGCAUAUCGGACUGUUAGCUGAAGAGGACCAUCAGUCAAUUUCUUGGGCUACAAUACCUAUUUUGCCAAUUGGCCUGGACCCUUUUAAUGCCUACACGGAGCCCUGCCGAUGCAACACGACUGGUCUGCUGUCCGAGGAGGAUACAACAGACUUCUUCCGUUGCGACGUCCCCCAAGGCCCUUCUGCUAUCCUGCUAGCCCCGGCCCGCUAGCUGUCUGAAUCGCCGUGUCUCCAGCUCGCCUAGCUAUCCACUGGUCCCAAUGAUUACUCGGCUACGCAUGCCUCUCCCUAAUGUCAAUAUGUCUUGUCCAUUGCUGUUUUGGUUAGUGAUUACUGUCUUAUUUCACUGUAGAGCCUCCAGCCCUGCUCAAUAUGCAUUAGCUAGCCCUUUUGUUUCACCUCCCACACAUGCGGUGACCACACCUGGUCUAAAUGAUGUCUCUAGAGACAUAAAACCUCUCAUCGUCACUCAAUGCCUAGGUUAAUCUCCACUGUAUUCACAUCCUACCAUACCCUUGUUUGCACAUUAUGCCUUGAAUCUAUUCUUCCGCACCCAGAAAUCUGCUCCUUUUACUCUCUGUUCCGAAUGCACUAGGCGACCAGUUCUUAUAGCCUUUAGCCGUACCGUUAUCCUACUCCCUUAUUAACUCCCUAAGUUUGUUUUACUCACCGCUUUAGCACACUCUGCCAACCCAGAUGUCCUAGCCGUGUCUGAAUCCUGGCUUAAGAAGGCCACCGAAAUUUCCAUCCCUAACUAUAACAUUUUCCGACAAGAUAGAACUGCCAAAGGAGGCGGAAUUGCAUUCUACUGCAGAGAUAGCCUGCAGAGUUCUGUCAUACUAUCCAGGUCUGUGCCCAAAUAAUUUGAGCUUCUACUUCUAAAAAUCCACCUUUCCAGUGUUGGAAUCAGCUUAACUUUGAACAUUGAGAUAUUAAAUAAAUGAUAGAGACAAGGCCUUGAAAAGAAAGAGUUUGUAAAAAGCAAGGAGGCUUUGGAAUGUGUUUGAUGGAGGAGAGGAGAGCGAUGUGUAGAUAUAGGGAAGACAGAUGGAUGUCUGUGGAUUAGGGGGUGAGGGGUGAGGUCAGUUCCCCUUAAGGGAGUAAUCAGGGUUGGUAUCUGGUUACCUUCUUUCCUGUGGAGCCAUAAAAUGUAAGGAGGAGGAGUGUCUUAAGUAGGAUGCAUAUAAACUGUGAUGUCUGAAAUGUUUUUGCUGACUGAUUUCAGCUGUACAGAGUAAUCAGUUGGUAUCUGGUUACCUUCUUUCCUGUGGAGCCAUAAACUGUAAGGAGGAGG